GACGUAUUGUCCUUUUUCUUUUUUUUUAAACUGUGGGAAAAUGUGCUAGCAGACAUGAUUCGGGGUAGGGACAGAGUCACCCCGCGAAAUCACCUACUUUUAAUAGAGUGGGGCGGGUGCUGAGCCGGUUACCGCCACGCAGAUCCCUAGUGCAGCACAGAAACAGCCCUUAAAUCCUCUGCGGCGGGCUCCCGCUUCUGUCCCUGCUCUUGAAAUAGCUACCCUGCCUACCAAGGGCUUUCACUGAAUCUAUUCCUAACCGGGAGUUUUCCGCGUCAAAAUCCACGUUUACUAUUUCGCCCCUGCUUUAAAAUGAUGAUUCUCAAAGGGAAAAAAAAAAAAGAAAAAAGCAGUUUUUCUGGGUUCCACCCCCAUAGAUUACAUGUAAUUGGUCUGGACUCAGGGAUUGAUUUCCCAAAGGAUUCUAAUGUGUAGUCACAUAGACAUUAACUGUUAAAAGUGUCAGUUGUUUUGAUCCUUUACUGACAUCUUUUUGCAACUCCUAAGGUGUAAGCAAAGCUGGUGCUGUUUUUCCUACAGUUAAGAUACUCUCAUUUUAUUGUUUCUUUUCCU
RNAcentral lists this long non-coding RNA (573 nucleotides) under Marmota monax (woodchuck). The record is from RNAcentral. Lineage: Eukaryota; Metazoa; Chordata; Mammalia; Rodentia; Sciuridae.